AUACGUAGGUGACAAGCGUUAUCCGGAUUUACUGGGCGUAAAGGGCGUGUAGGCGGUCUUGCAAGUCAGAAGUGAAAUUCCUGAGCUCAACUCGGGCGCUGCUUCUGAAACUGCAGGACUUGAGUGCUGGAGGGGAUAGUGGAAUUCCUAGUGUAGCGGUAAAAUGCGCAGAUAUUAGGAGGAACACCGGUGGCGAAGGCGGCUAUCUGGACAGUAACUGACGCUGAGGCGCGAAAGCACGGGGAGCAAACAGGAUUAGAUACCCUGGUAGUCCGUGCCGUAAACGAUGAAUACUAGGUGUAGGGGGUAUCGACUCCCUCUGUGCCGCAGUUAACACAUUAAGUAUUCCACCUGGGGAGUACGGCCGCGAGGUUGAAACUCAAAGGAAUUGACGGGG
Molecule: ribosomal RNA, 397 nt
Filed under: uncultured bacterium
Lineage: Bacteria
Description: partial 16S ribosomal RNA
Rfam family: Bacterial small subunit ribosomal RNA
Source: RNAcentral